GCUUACGGCCACACCGCCUUUGGUUCACGCCCGAUCUCGCUUUGAUCUCGGAAGCUAAGAUAGGUUGGGCCUGGUUAGUACUUGGAUGGGAGACCGCCUGGGAAUACCAGGUGCGUAAGCU
This 121-nucleotide ribosomal RNA is filed under the name Scophthalmus maximus (turbot). Lineage: Eukaryota; Metazoa; Chordata; Actinopteri; Pleuronectiformes; Scophthalmidae. The record is from RNAcentral.